This 59-nucleotide transfer RNA is filed under the name Asplenium scolopendrium (hart's tongue). RNAcentral's name for it is "partial tRNA-Leu". The record is from RNAcentral. Lineage: Eukaryota; Viridiplantae; Streptophyta; Polypodiopsida; Polypodiales; Aspleniaceae.
GAACGAAAAUCCGUUGGUUUCGCAAGACCGUGAGGGUUCGACUCCCUCUAUCCCCAACG